GAUGAACGCUGGCGGCGUGCCUAAUACAUGCAAGUCGAGCGAACAGACGAGGAGCUUGCUCCUCUGACGUUAGCGGCGGACGGGUGAGUAACACGUGGAUAACCUACCUAUAAGACUGGGAUAACUUCGGGAAACCGGAGCUAAUACCGGAUAACAUGUUGAACCGCAUGGUUCAACAGUGAAAGACGGUCUUGCUGUCACUUAUAGAUGGAUCCGCGCCGCAUUAGCUAGUUGGUAAGGUAACGGCUUACCAAGGCAACGAUGCGUAGCCGACCUGAGAGGGUGAUCGGCCACACUGGAACUGAGACACGGUCCAGACUCCUACGGGGGGCAGCAGUAGGGAAUCUUCCGCAAUGGGCGAAAGCCUGACGGAGCAACGCCGCGUGAGUGAAGAAGAUCUUCGGAUCGUAAAACUCUGUUAUUAGGGAAGAACAAAUGUGUAAGUAACUAUGCACGUCCUGACGGUACCUAAUCAGAAAGCCACGGCUAACUACGUG
Molecule: ribosomal RNA, 497 nt
Filed under: uncultured bacterium
Lineage: Bacteria
Description: partial 16S ribosomal RNA
Rfam family: Bacterial small subunit ribosomal RNA
Source: RNAcentral